RNAcentral lists this transfer RNA (72 nucleotides) under Camelus bactrianus (Bactrian camel). It matches the Rfam family "tRNA". Rfam says of the family: Transfer RNA (tRNA) molecules are approximately 80 nucleotides in length. Their secondary structure includes four short double-helical elements and three loops (D, anti-codon, and T loops). Further hydrogen bonds mediate the characteristic L-shaped molecular structure. tRNAs have two regions of fundamental functional importance: the anti-codon, which is responsible for specific mRNA codon recognition, and the 3' end, to which the tRNAs corresponding amino acid is attached (by aminoacyl-tRNA synthetases). tRNAs cope with the degeneracy of the genetic code in two manners: having more than one tRNA (with a specific anti-codon) for a particular amino acid; and 'wobble' base-pairing, i.e. permitting non-standard base-pairing at the 3rd anti-codon position. RNAcentral also lists the same sequence under 3 other names. The record is from Rfam by way of RNAcentral. Lineage: Eukaryota; Metazoa; Chordata; Mammalia; Artiodactyla; Camelidae.
GAGGGUAUAGCUCAGUGGUAGAGCACAUGCUUAGCAUGCAUGAGGUCCUGGAUUCAAUCCCCAGUACCUCCA